GUACCUACGGGACGCAGCAGUGGGGGAUAUUGCACAAUGGGGGAAACCCUGAUGCAGCGACGCCGCGUGAGUGAAGAAGUAUUUCGGUAUGUAAAGCUCUAUCAGCAAGGAAGAUAAUGACGGUACCUGAGUAAGAAGCCCCGGCUAACUACGUGCCAGCAGCCGCGGUAAUACGUAGGGGGCAAGCGUUAUCCGGAAUGAUUGGGCGUAAAGGGUGCGUAGGCGGCCUGCUAAGUCUGGAGUGAAAGGUACCGGCUCAACCGGUACAGGCUCUGGAAACUGGCGGGCUAGAGAGC
This 296-nucleotide ribosomal RNA is filed under the name uncultured bacterium. RNAcentral describes it as "partial 16S ribosomal RNA". It matches the Rfam family "Bacterial small subunit ribosomal RNA", at positions 333 to 649 of the family's 1533-position model. The record is from RNAcentral.